RNAcentral lists this long non-coding RNA (1883 nucleotides) under Struthio camelus australis. Its description in RNAcentral is "lncRNA (ENSSCUG00000002631.1)". Lineage: Eukaryota; Metazoa; Chordata; Aves; Struthioniformes; Struthionidae. The record is from RNAcentral.
CCAAAACCUCACAGCGGUGGUGGACAAUUCUGCAAGGACACAGCAGUUCUGAAACUUGUCUUUGAGCACCUUUUUUGAGGAGCCACAGAAAUAAGCUCACUGACUUUAUGGUGGGUGGGUGGCUGGGGACACCUUGGAGGCGUGAACACUGUUUUUACUUAGCUGGCCUCCACUGAAAAUGCAGAGGACGACAGGUGUGAAUUGAAGACACUGCAGCUGGAUUAAUAAUUUGCUUCACAUCUGGGCCAGACGCUUAGAGUUUGGCAAAGGUAAGUUGAAGAUCCACCAUCUAUUUUUACGUGUUGGCCCGACCAUGCCACAGUUUAUGCUCUAUGUCAAAGAUUUGGCUGUGGCUACAGCUCAUGCAACUACAGAUUUUCAAUGGACAAGACUUAUCAGUUGUCAAACAAAGUAGAUCUAAUAGCUUUAAUUUUGAAUUUGUUUUUAAUUUAGAUUUUUGUUUUAAAAUCAAGAACUUUUUGGAUUGAUAAGAGUGUGGAAUACGCUUUUUGUUUAAACUGUUUGAAGAGGUAUUUAAAAUAAAAUUAAUUAUAUGUAAAGUUCUCCUGAAAUGUAUUUGACUUUUUACAGUACCAAAUUUCAUGUCGCGUCCAAGGGAGAUGUAAGUGUUCCCCGCUCUCACCCAGACCACCACCAACCUGCGAGGCAGCUGCGUGCAUGGCAGAGACUACUGGAGUUCAGGUUGGAGCCUGGCUUUGAGAGCAGAAGCAAAGAAGAACAAACUGUUCAAAGCCUUAUGACAGAUCAAAGCUGUGCUUAUAUAUGUUGGAUUUCUUUUUUCCUUGGAUGUGCAAUGAUUCUUGAGGUUAUGUCUUGGGCACUAGAGCUUCAGUUAUUUCUCAUCUGCAGCAUAUCCGAGUAAGGAAUUGCCCAUCAGGCAGACAGAUCAUCGGGUGCAUAAUGCAAGCAAAAUGAAUCUCUCUGUGCUCUGAUGUGAAUAGGCUGCAUUUCAUAAUGAGGAAUAAUCUGGUACAGAUACUUCAUGGAGCUGGCUCGCUAUAUGCGCUUGCAAUGGUAAAGCCAAGACCUAAAAUAAGCAGUGGGUAUAGAACACAGUACGUUGACUUUGCAGUAAGGGAAGAAGACCAGCAAAGGAAGUGGAACUGUUUAGUGCUGGCACUACCCUAAAAAGCUGGGCUGUUGUGGCAGAUGGACAGUGUCAUCGGUAUCUAAUGCAGCCUCCCAGGCAUGGAGCUAGAAGGACAAAGCCGGGAAGGAGAAGAAUCAACCUCACAAGUUUGAUUUUAUGGGAGCAGCCGGCAAACGGCAAUAAGAGUUUGGCUGUUGACUAUUAGGAACUGUGAAGUUAGUCAACAUGGACUUGGAGCGAGUGCUAUAUUAAAUAGAUGUUCAAACCAGAAUUGCCUACAUACGCUGAAUGAGGAUUCUGAUUGGGAAAUACCUGCCAAAAAAACGGGUGGUGGAAGUUGAAUAACAAACCACCCAUGCCGCUAAUAGUGCUGCAAUGCUAUCUUCGAAACAGGCUUAAGGAAUUCACUGUAAAGAUGUGGUGCAGGUAGGAACCUGCCAUAGACAGUUUAUUUGCUGGAGACAAAUGGUCAUGAUUCUGGUAUACAGCAUGGUAGCGCCUCAGCAAAAGAAAAUGGAGAGAGGAUUAAUGCAAAUGCUAGAGGUCUUUGCAAAGGACCCAAACUGUUUACAACUGGAGUGUGUUUAGCUGCAGGCUGCCAAUGUGAAACUGAACUCAGAGGCACCCAUUUUUUUUUUGGUGUGAGGUAACUCACUUCAGCAGCAUUAUCGUAGAACAAGGCAUUUCCUUGAGCACCCCCCACCCCGGGGGGGAAAAAAAAAAAAAAAAGCAAAGCCUGACUGCAAGACUGGGCCGUUCCCUCAGCCCAUGA